RNAcentral lists this unclassified non-coding RNA (1250 nucleotides) under Ooceraea biroi (clonal raider ant). RNAcentral describes it as "mitochondrial uncoupling protein Bmcp, transcript variant X5". The record is from RNAcentral. Lineage: Eukaryota; Metazoa; Arthropoda; Insecta; Hymenoptera; Formicidae.
UGGAAUGCAAUGGCGGUUCCGUUCUUCCUCCUCGGCUUCUCGUUCAUUCUCGUUAUAAGAAUGCACUGCGAGUACCGCCCAAAGCCUCCAUGCGAAUCGGUCCUUAUACCACGUGACAUUUCGCACCCGCAGAUCCGCUCGAGUUGCCAGGAUAGAUCAGAACUGGUGAUGGGAGAGAGAAAUUGGAAAGAUUGGAGACCUUUUGUGUAUGGUGGCUUAGCUUCAAUCGUUGCGGAAUUGUGUACCUUUCCUCUAGACACUACGAAAACGCGUUUGCAAGUGCAGGGUCAGAAGUAUGAUCAGAAACUCGCUCGUUUAAGGUACUCUGGCAUGACCGAUGCUCUACUACAAAUAUCUAAGAAUGAAGGAAUAAAAGGAUUAUAUUCCGGGAUCAGUUCUGCCAUUUUGCGGCAGGCGACGUACGGGACGAUAAAGUUCGGGACUUAUUACUCUCUGAAAAAGGCUGUGACCGACACGUGGGCAACUGGCGACUUAGUUACGAUAAAUGUCGUUUGCGCGGCGUUAGCCGGAGCGGUAUCGAGUGCGAUUGCCAAUCCUACUGACGUGAUAAAGGUUCGCAUGCAAGUCACUGGCUCCGAGAUGAACAUGUCGUUGUUCACGUGCUUCCAGGAUGUGUACAGGCACGAGGGCGUGCGUGGGCUCUGGAGGGGUGUUGGGCCGACUGCUCAACGAGCGGCCGUUAUCGCGGCUGUCGAGUUACCUAUAUACGAUUAUACCAAGAGUAAAUGUAUGAGCGUAUUGGGAGACAGCGUUAGUAAUCAUUUCGUAUUUGUCGAUUGUCAAAGGAAGAAAUAUCGUUGUCGAUUAACCCUUAUCCGGGUAACCAAGGCCCGUUCCCUCUAACAAAGCACCGUCAGUUUGUCUAUAAAGUUCUAAUUUAGAGAGUAUGCGCGACUCUUGUGAAGUCCUUUGACAUUGUCACGUGUCGCGUAUGGACAUACGCGAUAGACGGAUUUUGAGACGACCAGAGCGGCUUGACACGGAAGCUGUGUUCAGCACUCUGUGUUUAGUACAAGAAUUCUCUUAUGACCAAACGUCAUCCAAAGAUGAUCGUUACAAUGUUAAUCUACUCCGCAGGGGCUUUUCGGUCAAGUUUUAUAGCUAGUAUGGGAAGUGCUGUAGCCUCAACGCCCAUAGACGUCAUACGCACACGGCUGAUGAAUCAGAGAAGAGUACAUAUUGCUGGUAAUACACUCCCGACACACAUUUACAGUGGCAGUAUAGACUGU